ACAGAGAUGAAAGAGAUCCCUAUGGGCUGAAGGCAUCAGGCUUAUUAGUUACAGAAGCAAUUUUUUUAGGCUUGUUUACAAAGGUGGAGGCUCCACAGCUCACACGCACAGACCCAGUUAUAAUGAGAAUCUGGUAUACAGAAAAGGACAAAUGGUUUUCAGAAGAAAACCUAAUAUGGGAAGCAUUAUAAGUGCCUUGGCAUUUUAACAUUGAAAACAAAAUCAAAAGAGGAAGACAGAAAGGGGAGAAAAAUAAAGGCAUUGAUAAUCUAAUAAUUAGCACAGAAAAGAGAACUGGCAUGGUUUAUUGCCCAUGGAUUUACCUCUAGCAUGGUUUACUGUCCAUGGAUUUAUCUCUAGCUUUUAAAAUUUAUUUUAAAACAUGUUUUAAAUGUAAGUUCUCAUUAGAUCUCUUAAGUGCCAAGACUUAUAAACUAAACUAGGACACAUAUCGUGGGGGAAUUAUUAAUAUUUUGAUUUUUUAGUUUUGCCAGUUAAGAUUGCUUAAGUUAGAAGGUCAUCAAGGAAAAUGUGAAAUGCUUUUAUGAUUCAACAUUGUUAUUUUCAAGAUUCUUUUUUUUUUUUUUUUU
Molecule: long non-coding RNA, 590 nt
Filed under: Homo sapiens (human)
Lineage: Eukaryota; Metazoa; Chordata; Mammalia; Primates; Hominidae
Description: HSALNT0264170
Source: RNAcentral